This 293-nucleotide long non-coding RNA is filed under the name Prunus persica (peach). RNAcentral describes it as "long non-coding RNA (PPER_LNC004297)". Lineage: Eukaryota; Viridiplantae; Streptophyta; Magnoliopsida; Rosales; Rosaceae. The record is from RNAcentral.
GGAUAGCGGAUCCGCUCCGCUGUUAUGUUAGUUGACACGUGUCAGCAAAUUAGAGAGGGGACAUGGAGGGGACACCAAUUUGGGGACAGCGGAUCCGCUCCCGGUCUAGAGAGGGAUGUAUUUUUUUUGGGUGUUGAAGCUCAUUUUCUUAAUUUUUGAGUUUUUUUUUAAUUAAUUUAAAAUUUAAACAGUUAUUUAUGUAUUUUUUUAAUCCACGCGGUAUCCACCUGAGUAAAAAAAAGCCACAUCGACUGAAACGACCCGCCCCGAAUUUUCUCAAAACCCGAGACGAA